AGUAAUGCUUGGGAAUCUAGCUUAUGGAGGGGGAUAACUACGGGAAACUGUAGCUAAUACCGCGUAGUAUCGAGAGAUGAAAGUGUGGGACCUUCGGGCCACAUGCCAUAGGAUGAGCCCAAGUGGGAUUAGGUAGUUGGUGAGGUAAAGGCUCACCAAGCCGACGAUCUCUAGCUGGUCUGAGAGAAUGACCAGCCACACUGGGACUGAGACACGGCCCAG
Molecule: ribosomal RNA, 222 nt
Filed under: uncultured bacterium
Lineage: Bacteria
Description: partial 16S ribosomal RNA
Rfam family: Bacterial small subunit ribosomal RNA
Source: RNAcentral